Molecule: long non-coding RNA, 1813 nt
Filed under: Equus caballus (horse)
Lineage: Eukaryota; Metazoa; Chordata; Mammalia; Perissodactyla; Equidae
Description: lncRNA (ENSECAG00000059083.1)
Source: RNAcentral
CAAAGAAUGAGUAGGAGUUAAGCAACUGGGAUAGGAAGGAGGAAAUGAAGCUGAUAUAAAGAAUAGCAUCAGUCAAGGCCUAGAAGCAAGACACAGCAUGCUCUAGCAAAAGAAGUGAAGCAGUAAAUAUUUUGGAUAAUGCGACUGACUGUGUGGGUUGCUUGUGGAUAUAUGUGGGGUAUGGAGUGUACUAAGAGAUGAGGCUGAAGAGGUAAGCAAGGGUGGGACCUCACAGGGUAUUGUGAAUCCUCCUAAGAAAUUUGCAUUUUAUCCCCAGGUCAGUUGAGGAAGUCCUUUAAAGUGUCAGUGGGUCUGAUACAGUUUCCAGUUCUCCUCUCUAAUGGACCAGUGGGCCCCUUCAUCAAUACGGCAAUGGUAGGGAAAACCAGAAGCACAAGAGGGUUAGAGUCCCUGGAAGCAGCGCUCCCACCUCAACCAAUGGUGAAUAGGAGGUGAUAAAUAGCCCAGCGUCAUCACCCAAUGGCAGUACCACUUGGAAGCAAGCUCUGCAAUAUGUCCCAGAGUUCUCAGUCCUCUCUAGGUGGCAGGGACACAGCAGUGAAUUUACACUUUGAUCUUUGAAGCUUAUCCACACUGGGAAAGACAGAAGAAAGCGUACAGAGAAACAAAUAACCAAGAGAAAAAAGUUGGAUCUUCAACCAGUGGGCAAGAGAAUUCCAGGAAGAGACAUCAUAUUGUGCAAAGGCCUAUGGAGAAGCACAGAAGACAUCCUGACCUCCAUUACACACUUUCUAUGAGAAGUGAACUGACUUUCUCAGUCCCUUUGGGAGAAUCUUCUUCAGUCCUGCCCACUCUGGUCUCCUGAAACCCACACAUCUUGGCUUUUUUCUAUGCCAUGAGAACUAGGGGAUUCCCUUAGGCAGCUGUGGGCUGGUAAAUGUUGAGCAGCAGAUGCUCUGAGCAGUGUUUGCUGAUUGUCGUGGUGUGAAUAAUCCCACCAUGGCAAUUUAGUGUGACAUCACUGAACAUAGAAUUGGAAAGAGUUGUGCACGAUGAGUUCUCUUGAAUCUGAAGUUUCAGUGGUCUCAACAGCCAAUCCAAACUGGACCCUGGAGGGCAGAGUGGAAAGCGAUCCUCUUGGAGUUUGGUCUAUGUGAUCUGUUAUGGGUUGAAUUGUGUCCCCCACAAAAAUAUAUGGAAAUCCUAAUCACCAAGUCAUCAGAAUGUUACCUUAUUUGGAAAAAGGGUCAUCGUAGAUGUAGUUAGUUAAGAUGAGGUCAUACUGGAGUAGGGUGGGCCUCUAAUCCAGUAUGACUGGUGUCCUUGAAAGAAGACAACCAUGUGAAGAUACUGAGACACAGAGAGAAGGUUAUGUGAAGAUGGAAGCAGAGGGUGGAGUGAUGCAUUUACAGGCUGAGGAACUCCUGAGGCUGCUGGAAGCUGGAAGAAAUAAGGAUGGAUUAUCCCCUAGGGGUUUCAGGGGGAGUAAGGCUCUACUAAUACCUUGAGUUUAGAUUCUAGCCUCCAGAUCUGUGAGACAACACGUUUCUGUUGUUUUAACUCACCCACUUUGUGGCACUAAUAGUCCCUGUCUUUUCUCCUACCCUGCACCAUCUGGUUUGAAAUACUGCUGCCUUGGGCAAAAUCCCACUGUGUUUGUGUUUUAUGGUUCCAGUGUUCUUUCAUUCCAGUCCUUCUCCAUCUGGAUCAUAUUACAGGAAUCUAGUGAAAUGAGCUAAAAUAUGGGAGAGUCCAUUGCCUUAAAGAGAUAAGAAAGUCAUCUUAUCAGCUAUAAUUAGUUGAAUACAUACUAGGUCUCAGAUGCUAUACUAGGUGUUUGUCAUGUGUUGCC